CCUCCGCCUCCUCUCAACUUGCCUCUGUUUUGGAGGUUCAGUCAAAGCUGACACGUUGCUCAAGACUACAGGUGCCCAAAGGGGCUCCACCAGGUCCCGGGUUGGGCGAGCUGCUUCCUGCCCCUCCUCCGCCCCAUCACGGGGACCUAGAGGACGUUGGGUGGUGUCUUUGGUGAGCAGCCUGGGGCCCAGGAGCAGAGGGAGGACCCCCAUUUGUCAUGCUGGGUGAAGCCAGGAUGGUGUCUAAGUGCAGCUGACCCGCACCACAUGUAAGGCUGCCUGGCUAGCGAGGGUCAGAAAGACAGAGCUCGAACUUGGGACUCCUGAUUGGUGCUCUUUCCACUGCACCCCAACACCCACGUGUGAGAAGUAGGGGGACAGCCCAAGACCACCCUGACUCUGACACCACCCGCAAGUUCUCCUCACUCAUACGUCGUCACCCCUCUCUCUCGGGGCUCCCAGCAGCGACAGCCCCCACCUAGUCCUCGGCUGGGGGUGGGGGGCAGCAGGGACUGGUCCACACAGGAACCACAUCACGAUCCUCACCUCUGGCUGCGGCAACAACUUUAUUUGAUUUGAUGUAUAUGAAAGAAAUAAAACUCAGAAGCCAAUUGACUUAAACAUGGAA
RNAcentral lists this long non-coding RNA (628 nucleotides) under Lynx pardinus (Iberian lynx). The record is from RNAcentral. Lineage: Eukaryota; Metazoa; Chordata; Mammalia; Carnivora; Felidae.